AGAGUUUGAUCAUGGCUCAGAAUCAACGCUGGCGGCGCGCCUAACACAUGCAAGUCGAACGAGAAAGCGGGAGCAAUCUCGCAAGUACAGUGGCGUACGGGUGAGUAACACGUGGAUGAUCUGCCCUGGAGUGGGGAAUAACGCUGGGAAACCGGCGCUAAUACCGCAUAUUCCCGAGAGGGGAAAGCAGCAAUGCGCUCGAGGAGGAGUCCGCGGCCGAUUAGCUAGUUGGCAGGGUAAAAGCCUACCAAGGCUAUGAUCGGUAGCCGGCCUGAGAGGGCACACGGCCACACUGGCACUGAAACACGGGCCAGACUCCUACGGGAGGCAGCAGUGGGGAAUCUUGCACAAUGGGGGAAACCCUGAUGCAGCGACGCCGCGUGAGCGAUGAAGCCCUUCGGGGUGUAAAGCUCUUUCGGCAGGGAAGAUUAUGACGGUACCUGCAGAAGCAGCUGCGGCUAACUACGUGCCAGCAGCCGCGGUAAUACGUAGGCAGCAAGCGUUGUUCGGAGUUACUGGGCGUAAAGGGUGUGUAGGCGGCCUGUUAAGUUCCGUGUGAAAUCUCCCGGCUCAACCGGGAGGGUGCGCGGAAUACUGACGGGCUAGAGUGCGGGAUGGGAGAGUAGAAUUCCUGGUGUAGCGGUGAAAUGCGUAGAUAUCAGGAGGAAUACCGGUGGUGUAGACGGCUCUCUGGACCACAACUGACGCUGAUGCACGAAAGCUAGGGGAGCAAACAGGAUUAGAUACCCUAGUAGUCC
RNAcentral lists this ribosomal RNA (758 nucleotides) under uncultured bacterium. Its description in RNAcentral is "bacterial SSU rRNA". It matches the Rfam family "Bacterial small subunit ribosomal RNA", at positions 8 to 796 of the family's 1533-position model. The record is from RNAcentral.